GACGAACGCUGGCGGCGUGCUUAACACAUGCAAGUCGAACGAAAGGACGGGAAGAGCUUGCUCUUUCCGGAAUUGAGUGGCAAACGGGUGAGUAACACGUAAACAACCUGCCUUCAGGAUGGGGACAACAGACGGAAACGACUGCUAAUACCGAAUAAGUUCCAAGAGCCGCAUGGCCCAUGGAAGAAAAGGUGGCCUCUACCUGUAAGCUAUCGCCUGAAGAGGGGUUUGCGUCUGAUUAGCUGGUUGGAGGGGUAACGGCCCACCAAGGCGACGAUCAGUAGCCGGUCUGAGAGGAUGAACGGCCACACUGGAACUGAGACACGGUCCAGACUCCUACGGGAGGCAGCAGUGGGGAAUCUUCCGCAAUGGGCGAAAGCCUGACGGAGCAACGCCGCGUGAGUGAUGACGGCCUCGGUUGUAAAACGUCUGUGAUCGGACGAAAGGCAGAGUGCGAAGAACAAACUAGCAUU
RNAcentral lists this ribosomal RNA (473 nucleotides) under uncultured bacterium. Its description in RNAcentral is "bacterial SSU rRNA". It matches the Rfam family "Bacterial small subunit ribosomal RNA", at positions 28 to 473 of the family's 1533-position model. The record is from RNAcentral.